UACGUAGGGUGCAAGCGUUGUCCGGAAUCAUUGGGCGUAAAGAGCGUGUAGGCGGCCCGAUAAGUCCGCUGUGAAAGUCCAGGGCUCAACCCUGGAAUGCCGGUGGAUACUGUCGGGCUCGAAUCCGGAAGAGGUGAGUGGAAUUCCUGGUGUAGCGGUGAAAUGCGCAGAUAUCAGGAGGAACACCAAUGGCGAAGGCAGCUCACUGGGACGGUAUUGACGCUGAGACGCGAAAGCGUGGGGAGCAAACAGG
RNAcentral lists this ribosomal RNA (253 nucleotides) under uncultured bacterium. RNAcentral's name for it is "partial 16S ribosomal RNA". It matches the Rfam family "Bacterial small subunit ribosomal RNA", at positions 524 to 776 of the family's 1533-position model. The record is from RNAcentral.